CAAAGAAAAAGGAAAAAAUAGAAGAAAAAGAAAUAGACAAAAAACUGCUUGACCAUAAAUAUGGAGUGGCCACAGCGCUGUCGAGUGUAUGUAGGAAAAGGAGUGAGGCCAGCUGGACGGGACAAGAAACCUGUGUCCAGACAUUGCUCAAAGAGCAAAUCUUCAACAAACCUUUCCAGACCCUGCCUUAUAAUCGGCUAACACCAGUCUUUGGGAACAUUUGUUCACUUCCACAUUGUUCUCAUGCUCGC
Taeniopygia guttata (zebra finch) is the source of this 251-nucleotide non-coding RNA. Lineage: Eukaryota; Metazoa; Chordata; Aves; Passeriformes; Estrildidae. The record is from RefSeq and is a predicted model, not a curated record.